This 322-nucleotide unclassified non-coding RNA is filed under the name Hevea brasiliensis (rubber tree). Lineage: Eukaryota; Viridiplantae; Streptophyta; Magnoliopsida; Malpighiales; Euphorbiaceae. The record is from RNAcentral.
AGUUUAGCAAAAGUUGUUUAUAGUCUUUCCAUUUUCUGUUUACAAGGUAGGCAUGCUUUUGCCUUUGUUUUGGCUUAGGCACAAAGAAUCAUUAUCCGCAAUUUUCAAUAGUUACUUGCCUCAGAUAGAUGUUGGAGUUGAUUUUUAUAUUCUCUCUCUAUAGCCAUAUCUUUCUUUCAUGUAAAGAUGCCAAGAUGGGAGCAAAUAGUGGCAAUGAAACUUUCGUCCUUCAAAAUUAAAGUUGUGUGUAUUCCAGAAAACAAAGCAUGUCCUCUGCUCAAAAUCCUGUCAUUUAAGGCAAGAAACUGAAAAAUAGACUAAU